GACGAACGCUGGCGGCGUGCUUAACACAUGCAAGUCGAACGGUAAGGCCCCUUCGGGGGUACACGAGUGGCGAACGGGUGAGUAACACGUGAGCAACCUGCCCUUGACUCUGGAAUAACAGUUGGAAACAGCUGCUAAUACUGGAUAUGCAUCGUUCUCCUCCUGGGGGGCGUGGAAAGCUCCGGCGGUCAGGGAUGGGCUCGCGGCCUAUCAGCUAGUUGGCGAGU
RNAcentral lists this ribosomal RNA (227 nucleotides) under uncultured bacterium. RNAcentral describes it as "partial 16S ribosomal RNA". It matches the Rfam family "Bacterial small subunit ribosomal RNA", at positions 28 to 257 of the family's 1533-position model. The record is from RNAcentral.